Molecule: long non-coding RNA, 2693 nt
Filed under: Equus caballus (horse)
Lineage: Eukaryota; Metazoa; Chordata; Mammalia; Perissodactyla; Equidae
Description: lncRNA (ENSECAG00000056113.1)
Source: RNAcentral
CUCGUGUGGCGCCCGACGCGCGCGUUUUCGGGUCCCCGUCGAGCCCUCUGGGUGGGAUGGCGUCCACAGGCGCGGCCCGCGUCCGGCCGCGUGAGCGCCGGAGCCCCCCAGCAGCCCCGGCAGCAGCGCCGGCCCCUUUCCUGGUAGGCGGCGCCGAGCCUAGAGGUCCUCUGCCCCCACCCCCGGGCCUUGGGUCAGUUGUCGUCCUGGCACGCGAUGGGGACGUCGGCGGCCCUGGCCGGACGCGGGCUUCCUGACCCAGGGGAAGGGCAGUGCUCGUGGCCGCCGUUGCCUCCCCCUCCCCGGGCCGAGCGCCCAGGCUCGGGCUCUCCCGGACAGGGUCGCGCUGCAGCCCCGGGGCUGGAGACUGCGGGCAGCCUUCCUCCUCCAUCCGGAGUCCCUCUCCCGGGUCUCGCGGUCAUCGCCACCGGGUGGGACGCGCUCCUCGAGGACGCCAUUCGGCACAGGUUUUCCUCUAGGGAGCUAGCCUACCCCAGAAGCAAGGCUCGGGCUAGACCUCGGGCGGCGGUGCUGCGGAACCGCGCUUUUCCUGGCACCGCGGCAGACUCGUCAAGCGCGUCCUGUUUAACAGGGAGGGGUCGCUGGUCCGCUGCGGCCCCAGUGUCCGCGUAGCACCUGGCUCGCGCCCUUUCGGCACCCUGGGUCCGUCCUCGCGCACCUUCUCCAGCUCUCCCCGCACCCUGGGAUCCUCUCCUUCAGGCUCAUUUCACCCCAUGGUCCAGCCUAACUAUCCGUGCCGGGCACACACGUCGACACCCUGGCCGCAUCCUCACCGUGACCGUGCGCCCCUACCCAGGGGACCGCGCGGCCCCUAAGGGGCCGCAGGAUGUCGGGGGCGGAGCCUCGAGCGGCCCUCGGGGCUGCGGGGUCCUGAGUGCGGGGGUGGCACGUGCUCCUGCUCCACCGCCGGCGCCCCAGCGCUGGUGUCCCGUCGCCCCAGCCGGCCUCCUCCUUCGCCUCUCCAAGGGCACCGGAAUCUCCUCCACUGGGCCUUUCCCUUCCUGUGAUUUCUUCUGUAGCCAAACAAAACAAACCUCCUGAGUCGCUCGCCUCCCCCCACUAAGGCCUCUCCUGGCUGUCCAGUUUCUCCUCCUUUCUCUCUUAGCCCACUCCUGUCCGGCCUGCGUCCGCGCGCUGCUCCGACCCAUCUGCAGAAUCCAAGGACCAGUCUUCAGCCCUCACCAGGUGGCCAUCAGCGGCCCGUGGUCCCCUCCCCUCUGCGCUCCAUCUUUGCCUCCCUCCUCCGGGGGCUGCUGGGCAGUCCUUUGCCCCCCAUCUCUUCAUAUCCUCACCCCAAGGCCGUGUCCUUGGGCCUUUUCUUCACCUACACCCUGUCCUUUGUGACUGAAUCCAGUCGUGGCUGCAAAACCAGCCAUGUGGUUCCCACGUCCAGCUGCCCCCUGGACGUCUCCACCUGGAGAAGAGACUUCUCAACGUGAGCUGGCCGGAAACCCAUCUGCUUUCACCCUCCUUCUGCUCACCAGCUCUCUCCACAGCCUUCCCCAUCCCAGGUGAGGGCAGUGCAUCCUUGCAUCUUAGACCAAACCUACUACAGUCCUUCUAGAAAUGCUGUCCUGCCCACGCUCAGAGCCACCAGACUCCGUCUCUCCUCCCCGUGCCCUGCUAACCCUGGUCCACACUGCCCCUCACCUGGACUCUUGAGUCACAUGGCUGUCUCCCUGUUGUCCGCCCCCUUGUGGUCCAGUCUCCAUAAGACAACCAGAAGGACCUUUCCUUAUAACUUCUUUUUAUUGUGGUAAAAUAAACAUGACAUAAAAUAUACCAUUUUAACCACUUUUAGUGCAAUUCAGUGGCAUUAGGGAUAUUCACAUGGUUGUGCAGCAUCACCACCACCCAUCUCCACAAUUUUUCAUUUCCCCAGAGAAUCUGUGUCCUCAGCAAAUUGACUCCCCAUCCCCUCCCCCAGAGCCUGGCACCCACCAUUCUACUUCCUGUCUCUAGGAAUUUGACUCACUCCUGCAUUCAUCUUCCCAGAAGGGGGAACCAAGGUGGGGAGGUUGAGUCCAUGGGAGUCACUGAUGGACACAGGAUGUGAGAGAAAGGGAGGAGGCAAAGAUGGCGUCAAGUUUCAACUAUAAACACCAAGAAGUGGGACUGCAGGAUCAUAUGGAUCACUGUUCCGCACUGCCUGUUGUCUACUGCCUGAAAAACAUCGUUUCAUACUUUGCUCAGUUUUCAAUGCUUAAAGUGGUAGAUACACGGCCGUAAGUGGAGAGACAACACUGUACAUGUGCCAGGCGGGAACACACAGCCCCAGGAUGACCCCAGAACCAAGAAUCUUCAGAAAGAUUGCCACCUGAGACCUUUAUGAAGUGAGAAGUUCUUCAGUAAGGAAAAUCUGGCUUCCAGCAGCUUGACUACCGUAUAUGGACUGACUCGAGAUUAGCCAAUAAGCUUCUGCCCCUAAUUCCUUAAAUUUUGCCCUGAAUCCUAGAUUGGGGAGACAGAUUUGAGAGCCUUGCCUCCUAUCUUCUUGCCAGUCAACCUCACAAUAAAAUUCUUUCUUUUCUCAAAAACUGGUGCCAUAGUGUUGGCUUCUAUGUAUGUCGGGUAGCGAGCCCUUGCUCGGUAAUACUCUCAGACCAUAGCAGAAUUAAACUAGAAAUCAAUAACAGAAAGAUAGCUGGAAAAUCCCUAAAUACUUGAAGAUU